This 466-nucleotide ribosomal RNA is filed under the name uncultured bacterium. RNAcentral describes it as "partial 16S ribosomal RNA". It matches the Rfam family "Bacterial small subunit ribosomal RNA", at positions 28 to 507 of the family's 1533-position model. The record is from RNAcentral.
GAUGAACGCUGGCGGCGUGCUUAACACAUGCAAGUCGAACGAUGAAGCCUAGCUUGCUGGGUGGAUUAGUGGCGAACGGGUGAGUAACACGUGAGUAACCUGCCCUUAACUCUGGGAUAAGCCUGGGAAACUGGGUCUAAUACCGGAUAGGAGCGUCCACCGCAUGGUGGGUGUUGGAAAGAUUUAUCGGUUUUGGAUGGACUCGCGGCCUAUCAGCUUGUUGGUGAGGUAAUGGCUCACCAAGGCGACGACGGGUAGCCGGCCUGAGAGGGUGACCGGCCACACUGGGACUGAGACACGGCCCAGACUCCUACGGGAGGCAGCAGUGGGGAAUAUUGCACAAUGGGCGAAAGCCUGAUGCAGCGACGCCGCGUGAGGGAUGACGGCCUUCGGGUUGUAAACCUCUUUCAGUAGGGAAGAAGCGAAAGUGACGGUACCUGCAGAAGAAGCACCGGCUAACUACGUG